UCAAGAUCUUAUAUUCUUCGUGACAAUCUCAUUUCCAUUUUCUUGUGCAAAAAUGAGGAGAAUAUCAAAUAAACAAAGAAAAAUCAUCUUCAAAAUAAUUUUAGCACCCAUUAGAAUUUUUAAAAGAGCAAGGGACUUCUAUGUAAAAGGCAUGGAAGGUUGCGCCAGAAAGGUUGGCUGGAACGCCGUGGUAUUUGGUGGUCCGGUGAUGUCUCAACAUAUGUUCUUGCCGGAGAAUUUUGGCCUUAAAUCUUCAAAAUCAAGCUCAAAAAACAAUGAGGGAAAUAAUAAAGUUUUAAGGGGAAAAAGUGAAAGAAAAUCACCAAAAGUGUAGUUUCGAAACUAUUGAUGAAGACAUGCCAUCUUUCUAAAGAAAGAGGAGAAUGGACAAAGGUGAACACAUAUUAUACUUAAUCAACUUUCAUUUAUGAGUGGCAUUGUGAUUGUAUGUUUUGAAUUAUGAGUUCGAUUCCUAAUUAAAAAUAUGUUUAGGAAUCAUUUGAUUUCAGUGUACCGAUGUGGAUAUCAGUUCAUAAACAAGAAUUAAUUUGAUUUGUUUUUUUGUUUUUGCUCAA
Molecule: long non-coding RNA, 575 nt
Organism: Mercurialis annua (annual mercury)
Lineage: Eukaryota; Viridiplantae; Streptophyta; Magnoliopsida; Malpighiales; Euphorbiaceae
Exons: 2
Source: RefSeq, a predicted model, not a curated record